RNAcentral lists this long non-coding RNA (231 nucleotides) under Capsicum annuum. RNAcentral describes it as "long non-coding RNA (CANN_LNC013033)". Lineage: Eukaryota; Viridiplantae; Streptophyta; Magnoliopsida; Solanales; Solanaceae. The record is from RNAcentral.
GGGCAUGUCAGUUAGAUGACUACCUCCCAGAGUUUCAGUAUCAGUCUCAGUAAAAGAACUCAGAUAGUUCUUUAGAAUUUAGGACUUCAGAUACAUUCAACUUAGAUAUAGUUUGGAAAUGAGCUAGUUCUAUCAGACUCAGGACUGUCAGAUAUAGUCACUUAUGUUAUCAGUUAUCAGAAUUCAGUCAUUAGUCAUGUUAGUCAUCUUCAUACUCAUGUUGUCACAAUU